UAGGGAAUCUUCGGCAAUGGACGAAAGUCUGACCGAGCAACGCCGCGUGAGUGAAGAAGGUUUUCGGAUCGUAAAACUCUGUUGUUAGAGAAGAACAAGGACGUUAGUAACUGAACGUCCCCUGACGGUAUCUAACCAGAAAGCCACGGCUAACUACGUGCCAGCAGCCGCGGUAAUACGUAGGUGGCAAGCGUUGACCGGAUUUAUUGGGCGUAAAGCGAGCGCAGGCGGUUUCUUAAGUCUGAUGUGAAAGCCCCCGGCUCAACCGGGGAGGGUCAUUGGAAACUGGGAGACUUGAGUGCAGAAGAGGAGAGUGGAAUUCCAUGUGUAGCGGUGAAAUGCGUAGGUAUAUGGAGGAACACCAGUGGCGAAGGCGGCUCUCUGGUCUGUAACUGACGCUGAGGCUCGAAAGCGUGGGGAGCAAACAGG
Molecule: ribosomal RNA, 429 nt
Filed under: Gemmatimonadota bacterium
Lineage: Bacteria; Pseudomonadati; Gemmatimonadota
Description: Gemmatimonadetes bacterium partial 16S ribosomal RNA
Rfam family: Bacterial small subunit ribosomal RNA
Source: RNAcentral